AAUAAAAAUGUGAAAACUAAUUGCAAAAAUUUAAAGAAGAGAAAAAAAAAAUACUUACCUAAAGAUGCGGACACUCUUUUUCUUUUUUCAUAAUUUAAAAAUUACCAACCAAUUAAGUGAUUAUUCAAGUUAUUGGGCCUUUGUUGUAAUUUUUAAAGUCCUAGUCAAUGUUCAUUAUGUCCACAAUGUCUAAAGUGAGAUUCAUUUAGCCCUCAAGUCAAAAAUCUAAAAAAUAAGUUGUAAUCCAAAUAUUCAUAUUCCAAUUUAGUUCAAAGACUGAUUUAGAAGGUUUUUGGGUCAAAAUAAAGCUUUUUACUAGUUUUAUGGGUAGUACUAAAAUUUUAACAUAAAGAAGGGCUCUAAUUAAAAUUUUAUGAAAUAAAAUAAAAUAAAAUUAUGAGCUCUAAACAAAGGAAUGAUGAAGAGAGAAAUAAAAAGUAAAAAUAAUAAAUGAGAAAAGAAAAUAACAGAAUUAUAAAUACCUUUCCCCAGCAAUGGCUCUAAAAAUUUAAUACGACCCAAAAGAGUCGAUUAUUUCUAGGUGUAAAAUUAUCUCAUUAUAAUAUAACUCGGUGAGUCCGAGGUCAAUCUACAGAAAAAAAGAUUUAAAUUGUAAAUUUUCUUUAAUUUAUCUAAGAACUCAAAAAUAUAUAUGAUUUAAGUAUGCUCUAUUUAAUUUAAGCAAAACUAUGGAAAUAAAUUAAUUAAGGUUAUGGAUCCACUCUUAAUAGUAAAUAUAAUUUAACAAAUUCUUUUUAUUUAAAUCUAUUGCGCAAAAAGAUUAAUUAAAUAAAUUAACAUUAUUUUUUCAUUGAUUUCAUUAUAGAUUAAAUACUAAAUUUGCCAAAAUCUAAUUUGUCUAACAAAACUCAAAAUACCAUUUUACCAUACUUUAUACUAAUAUAUGAAGGACUUAUUGUGUCAAACCCUCUUCUUUGCCUAUAAUAAAUCAAGAUUUUGAAAAAAUGAAAUAUGGAUAAAUUAAAUAGAAAAUAAUUUAAUUUAUAUAAUUAAAAAUAGAAUUCGAUUAAAUCAUAUUUUUCUACUAAAAGUUUCACCUUACCCUAAGUAUUAUUAUUUAGUUAAACAUAACUGAAAUAAAAAUUAUUAUUAAAUUAAAUUUCAUAUAAUUAAAAUUAAAAUAGCUUAGAUUGAAAAUAAAAAUAAGUUUAACUAUGAAUUAAAUUUCAAAGAUCUAAAAUAAAUUAUAUGUAAAUUAAAUACAAAAUAAAUAGGAGAAAUUUUACAGAUUAAGCUUUAUGUUCCUCACCCCUCUUUUGCUCGUAGCCUCCAGGCUAGAGAUGGCAAAAGUCCGGGUUGGGUCCGGGUUUGGGGCUGCCCGGGACCGACCCGCAUGUCACUCAUAACUACCCGGACCCGGACUGUGCCCGGAUUUUUUCUAUGCGGGCCGGGUACUUGCCCAGCACUAUCCGGACACGGAUUUUUUUCUGGGUUUUCUCUACCCGCAUUUUCAAAGCUGAAAAUGAAACAAGAGUAUGUUUGCCACCGCCACAGCUGAUAAGUGUUAACCAAGAAAGUGUCAUAAGUUUUGGGAUCUCUUUUCCAGAAAAGCGGCCAUGGGAGAUAAUUAUUGAAUUUAUUAAUCCACAUGCGUAGCUCUGCUUAGCUUAUUAUUAUUAAAUUUAAAGCUGAAGAAAAAAAAAACUUGCCGCUUUGAUAGACCAACCAAAUGAGGAAAGGUGGCAGUGUUCAAAGCACAUUCCCUAAGCAAAAACUUGCUUGCCAUUAAAGCUCAGAUAAAAAAAAGAUAACAUACAAAAAUGCAGACAUGUUAAUCAUUACACACAUCUGCAAAGUUGUACGGGAGCCAUACUUACACACAUCUGCAAAGCUAAAAGCAUUGGAAAAAAAAUCAUUUCAAGGUAAGACUGUAAGAGGUUCGUGGAGGGAGCCAUACUUACUCAAACGGUACGGGAGCCAUACUUACACACAUCUGCAAAGCUGAAAGCACUGGAAAAAAAUCAUUUCAAGGUAAGACUGUAAGAGGUUUGUGGAGGGAGAGGCGCGGUCAACACUGCAUCGGUGCCGGUGGGUGGUGGCUGCUGAUGGAGAGACGGAGAAAGGUGCCGCCGAUUCGGAGAUUUCAGGAUGUGUGCUGCGUUGUUCACUUGCAAUCGCGAUUUAGGGUUCGGUUUUGGGGGCAAUUGGGCAAAGAAAAUUUUCUUUUCUUUUAUAUUUUCCUUUUUUUUUAACUUAAUAAAAAAACCGGGCACGGGUCCGGGUUCCGGGUUCUUGGUGCUGUGACCGGACCCGUGCCCAGAACCGGGCAUUGAAAAUCAAUGUCCGGAUCCGCUUUUUCC
This 2321-nucleotide long non-coding RNA is filed under the name Citrus x clementina. RNAcentral's name for it is "Citrus clementina (C. clementina) long non-coding RNA (CCLE_LNC006624)". Lineage: Eukaryota; Viridiplantae; Streptophyta; Magnoliopsida; Sapindales; Rutaceae. The record is from RNAcentral.